CCGAACCCUGUCAAACUCCGAAUGGAUAUACUGUAGAGCCUUGGAGUCAGACUACGAGUGAUAAGAUCCGUGGUCAAAAGGGAAACAGCCCAGACCACCAGCUAAGGUCCCCAAUGUCGUACUAAGUGGAAAAGGAUGUGGGGUUUCAUAAACAACCAGGAUGUUGGCUCAGAAGCAGCCACCAUUUAAAGAGUGCGUAAUAGCUCACUGGUCGAGAGACCCUGCGCCGAAGAUUCCCGGGGCUAAAGUACGAAACCGAAGCUGUGGCUGUAUACGUAAAGUAUACGGGGUAGGGGAGCGUUCCCAUAGGGUAGAAGUCGAACUGGAAGGUUCGGUGGACUUGUGGGAAGUGAGAAUGUUGGUAUGAGUAGCGAAAAGAAAGGUGAGAAUCCUUUCCACCGAAAGCAUAAGGAUUCCUGAGCAACGAUCGUCGUCUCAGGGUAAGUCGGGACCUAAUCCGAGGCAGAGAGCGUAGGAGAUGGACAACUGGUUGAUAUUCCAGUACCGGUAGUAAUUGUUUGAGCAAUGGAGUGACACAGAAGGGCAGGCAAGCAUGCGAAUGGAAGAGCAUGUGUAAGCGUGUAGGGUGGUGCAUAGGCAAAUCCGUGCACUGAAAGCCUGAGGCGUGAUGCGGAGUGAGCAGAGAUGCGAGCGAAGUUGUUGACCCCACACUGUCGAGAAAAGCUUCUAGUGAGAGAGCUACCGCCCGUACCGUAAACCGACACAGGUAUGCGGGGAGAGAAUCCUAAGGUGCGCGGGAGAACCCUCGUUAAGGAACUCGGCAAAAUGUACCCGUAACUUCGGGAUAAGGGUAGCCACUGUUGUGAAGUCCCAUGCGGAUGGAGCAUAGAGUGGUCGCAGAGAAGAGGCCCAAGCGACUGUUUACCAUAAACACAGGUGCCUGCUAAAGCGAAAGCUGACGUAUAGGUGCUGACACCUGCCCAGUGCCGGAAGGUUAAGGAAGGAUGUUCGGAUUAGUCCAAAGCAUUCGACUGAAGCCCCGGUGAACGGCGGCCGUAACUAUAACGGUCCUAAGGUAGCGAAAUUCCUUGUCGGGUAAGUUCCGACCCGCACGAAAGGUGUAACGAUUUGGGCACUGUCUCAACGAGGGACCCGGUGAAAUUGAAAUACCUGUGAAGAUGCAGGUUACCCGCGACUGGACAGAAAGACCCCAUGGAGCUUUACUGUAACCUGACAUUGGGUUUUGAUACAUUACGUACAGGAUAGGUGGGAGGCUUGGAAAGUUGGACGCUAGUCUGACUGGAGCCGACGUUGGGAUACCACCCUUGAUGUAUUGAAAUUCUAACCGCGAGAGUAACGAAAUCCGGGACAGUGUCAGGCGGGCAGUUUGACUGGGGCGGUCGCCUCCGAAAGAGUAACGGAGGCGCCCAAAGGUUCCCUCAGCGCGGCCGGAAAUCGCGCGAAGAGUGUAAAGGCAGAAGGGAGCUUGACUGCGAGUCAAACACGACGAGCAGGUACGAAAGUAGGGCUUAGUGAUCCGGUGGUACCGAGUGGAAGGGCCAUCGCUCAACGGAUAAAAGCUACCCUGGGGAUAACAGGCUAAUCUCUCCCAAGAGUCCAUAUCGACGGGGAGGUUUGGCACCUCGAUGUCGGCUCAUCACAUCCUGGGGCUGAAGU
This 1638-nucleotide ribosomal RNA is filed under the name human gut metagenome. Its description in RNAcentral is "bacterial LSU rRNA". It matches the Rfam family "Bacterial large subunit ribosomal RNA", at positions 939 to 2559 of the family's 2925-position model. The record is from RNAcentral.